GACGAACGCUGGCGGCGUGCUUAACACAUGCGAGUCGAACGGAAAGGCCCUGCUUUUGUGGGGUGCUCGAGUGGCGAACGGGUGAGUAACACGUGAGUAACCUGCCCUUGACUUUGGGAUAACUUCAGGAAACUGGGGCUAAUACCGGAUAGGAGCUCCUGCUGCAUGGUGGGGGUUGGAAAGUUUCGGCGGUUGGGGAUGGACUCGCGGCUUAUCAGCUUGUUGGUGGGGUAGUGGCUUACCAAGGCUUUGACGGGUAGCCGGCCUGAGAGGGUGACCGGCCACAUUGGGACUGAGAUACGGCCCAGACUCCUACGGGAGGCAGCAGUGGGGAAUAUUGCACAAUGGGCGGAAGCCUGAUGCAGCAACGCCGCGUGCGGGAUGACGGCCUUCGAGUUGUAAACCGCUUUCGCCUGUGACGAAGCGUGAGUGACGGUAAUGGGUAAAGAAGCACCGGCUAACUACGUG
This 468-nucleotide ribosomal RNA is filed under the name uncultured bacterium. Its description in RNAcentral is "partial 16S ribosomal RNA". It matches the Rfam family "Bacterial small subunit ribosomal RNA", at positions 28 to 507 of the family's 1533-position model. The record is from RNAcentral.